GGCCCGAUAAUCUAAAAAAAGAUAUUUCGCUGUAAACGAAAACAUAAGAAUCAUAUCUUUCUAGCCA
This 67-nucleotide transfer RNA is filed under the name Hertwigia falcifera. RNAcentral describes it as "tRNA-Tyr". The record is from RNAcentral. Lineage: Eukaryota; Metazoa; Porifera; Hexactinellida; Lyssacinosida; Euplectellidae.